Long non-coding RNA from Prinia subflava (tawny-flanked prinia), 1425 nucleotides. RefSeq lists it as uncharacterized. The record is from RefSeq and is a predicted model, not a curated record. The transcript is spliced from 2 exons. NCBI's taxonomy places the organism in Eukaryota, Metazoa, Chordata, Aves, Passeriformes, Cisticolidae.
UCUGGGUCACCUGAAUAGAUGAUGGUGCUCCCUGUAUGCUCCCAGAAAUCCAGGGAGUGGAUGUGCAGUAGGGCAGUGAUUUCCCAGCUGGAGCUCUGGGUUCUCCUGCAGGAAUUAAACAGCUCCACCAAAUGUAAAAACAACCCCAUGUCCUAAGGCAAUCCAAGCCAAGCAGGACGUGGCAGCAUCUUUAGUGUGAUUUGUCUUAAAGAGUUGUUGCCAUGGAAACAAGGUCUCCAUCUCUAUCUGGUACAUCCUUACACAUAUCCAUAGUGAGAUGUGAGGGAAAUUCUCUUACCUCUGGGUGUCAGCGUUUGUAGUUUGCCCUGAAUCCUUUGCCUAUGCAAAAACAACAAAAAAAUUGAUUUGGGGCAGUUCUGUGUCAGUGGAAGUGCAAUUCCAGAUCUGGAAUCGUUUGUGUGUGAACUGCAGGUUAGAAAUGAUCAGCUCCUCUGUGUGAGGGCAAAGGUGGGAGGAGCAGCUCCAAAACUCCUCCAAGAUUGUUUAAAAUCUAUUAUUUACCUUUUUGGUUUUGGUACAAUAAAGAGAAAGAGAAAGAGAGCUGUUACCUGUUGUCACCUGAGUUUCAAUGUUCAGGAUACACAAAGUUCUAUUUCUUCUGUGUACAUAAAUUAAUCUAAGCAGGAAAACUGACCUGAACCAAGAUUUAUAAUGCAUGUGUAAAAUGCUCAGUUUAGUAACCAGAACAGUGUCCAUUAUUCCAGUCAAAAUGUCAGCAAAUGAGAUUAGUAAACAUUUUUAAAUUAAAUACAGAAGAAAAUCUCCACUAUAGGGUGACAUUAAGACAAAAAAGCCCAACCCAACAGCCUCUCCCCAGUGAAUCAGCAGAUGCCUGGCUCCAGGACAAUGGCUGGAUGUAGCCUGUGAUUUAUUGUGGCAGGGAUGCUGCCCACAGAGGAGAACUCAUUGUGCUCAGAAAUAAUGGGUUUGUCUCUGAGAGCCAGCAGAACCCUGUCAUCUGUCAGCCAGCAGAAAAAGAAAUAAAGCUCAGCAUUGAAAUAUCUUCUUGGAGCAGGUUGGCUGCCAGCUGUGUGUGGUGGAAAUAAGUCCUGGUAGAGGCACAGCUGAAACAGUUUAGAAUUGGGAAAACCUCGAAGUUUAGCGAUGUCUCAAAACUCUUCCCUCGCUCUCCCUUUGGAGAUGAGCAUCUUUGGAGCACCCUCAGAAUUAAAAAUGACCAGACAUCAGUGUUAUCACACAGAAAAGGAACAGUAGCUCCUGCCCUGAGGUUCUGGAUGCAUUCACUGCAGAGACAAGCAGGUGAGAAGAAAAAGGUGAUUGACAGUUAGCUCGACCAAUGUGGAUUGAGAGGUGAAAUUCCAUCCUCCAAUCCACGGGCCCCAUAGGAAAUGUAUAAAACUGAGUUUUGUAAAUAAACUCGUCCCUUUUUUCCUGCUUCGCUCA